RNAcentral lists this long non-coding RNA (1530 nucleotides) under Macaca mulatta (Rhesus monkey). RNAcentral describes it as "lncRNA (ENSMMUG00000052359.1)". Lineage: Eukaryota; Metazoa; Chordata; Mammalia; Primates; Cercopithecidae. The record is from RNAcentral.
CCACAGAUGCCCGCGGGGGGAUGAGCUCACAGACACCCUCAUUGUCAUGGAGGCUGUGGGGUGUGUGGGUGGGGCUGAGGGGCUCCUGCCAUCCCUUUGCUGCUAGCCAGGCCUUGAUGAGGGGAGGGGAGCUGACUUCCUAGAGAUCGCGCCACGUGCCUUCCGCCAUUUGUGAAGAACCCGCCGAUGAAGCCCAGCCUCGGUGGUCAUAAAUUGGUGCCUGGCGAGAUGCCAGCGAUGUCCAACGUGAUCACUCUUCAGGUCCCACCACACCGAUGGACUGCCCCGCAGGACCUCACUGCUGGACUGCACCGCAGGACCGCACCGCCGGACCGCCCCGCUGUCCUGGCAGUGCGGAAUAACAACGUGCACCAUUUAAAUGUAAGGUGACACUGCAGUCAUUACAAGAUGUGAUUGAUCUAGAUUCAUCCAGCUGCUUAGAUUCAUGGGAACUUGUGGGCAGUGAUGGGAAAAGGUGAUGGGAGCCUGCAUCACACCUGGAGCCCAUCGAAUUGACUGAACGGCACUCCGAAGGCAUGAGCACUUCCUUGCAUGGAAAUCAUUCCUCAGUUUCCAAAACAUCCACAUUGGUUUUUCUCUGAACAGUGGGAUUUUAUUUAAUUAUAUUUUAUUGCUCAAUCCUUUUUUUUUUUUUUUUUUUUGAGACAGAGUCUCGCUCUGUCCCCCAGGCUGGAGUGCAGUGGCCGGAUCUCAGCUCACUGCAAGCUCCGCCUCCCAGGUUUGCGCCAUUCUCCCGCCUCAGCCUCCCGAGUAGCUGGGACUACAGGCGCCUGCCACCUCGCCCGGCUAGUUUUUUUUUGUAUUUUUUAGUAGAGACGGGGUUUCACCGUGUUAGCCAGGGUGGUCUCGAUCUCCUGACCCCGUGAUCCACCCGUCUCGGCCUCCCAAAGUGCUGGGAUUACAGGCCUGAGCCACCGCGCCCGGCCUCUCAAUCCUUUUUUUAUUUGUAAGUUUUCUGAAAUGACUAUGUAUUACAUUGGUAAAUCAAAAUAUUAACUAAUCCAACAUAGUCCAAACAGUAAAAAUAUGACCUAAAAUUAUCUCCAGGUAUGAAUGCUUAGCAAAGAGUGUUGUAGGGCUUAGCUCUCUUCUGAGCUAUUUGGUGAACUCUUUCUAGAAGAUGUUCUUCCAAUGAACUUGGGCAAUGGAAGAAAGGAUUCAUAAUCAUAAUGAAGGCCUAGGGCCGGGAGGGCAUCCGGUCAAUAGAAAUUGGCCCUAAACCUUGAAGGUCCAGGUCUGAGGUUGGUCAGUCACUCCUCUCAGGUCAGCCUUGGAGGCAGCUGCCUCGUAUUGGCUUCUUGACUCUUUGUCCUUCCUCUUCUCCAUGUGUUUUGGGUCACAGUUCCUUUCUUCCUAAGUUUCACAAAGUCCUCACUGAGGUCUUCCUCCUGCCAUGUCCUCAGUUACCUCCUGGGCUCAGCCCCACAGGAUGAGCUCCCUCUGUUGCUGCUCCCCUGGGCAGCUGGCAUCUGCAAACACCACAUGGCCUUCCAGUUCUUCUCCCACCCC